GAAGUACUACAGAGAGAAUAAGAGAAAGCAGAGCAAGAAUUCCUGGCAGAGAAGAUGAGAAUUUAGAAAGAUGCCAAGCAUUUCCAAAGGGAUGCCACUUAAACUGUUGGAGACACAUUUACAAGAUGGGUGUGUCAAAGAGGUGCAGACUUGUCCAGCCACACCUGUGCCUGCUGGAAAAGUGUCACCCCCAGCUGCCUGGCGCUCCUCUCCCUUUCCUCCUUCCUCUCCUCAUCUGGAGGCUUCUGCACUUCAAACCUGACAGAUAAACUGCUCCUAGGAGUGUUGCCUGAGCUGUCAGGCAAAAUGAGGUUGCAAUGAAUCCAAAAUGAUGAAACUAAGACUUGAAAUCUGAGCAUGUUGAUGGACAAGGGCACAAGUCUAAAAUGACCAGGCAGCCAGUUGUCACAUGCCAUUACUGAGCCAAAGAUCUAUAUCACAAUCCCUUCUCCACCCAUGACCAGUACCUGAGUGCCCUUCCCUCUGCUCUAACAAAGAAUCAGCACCUGUAGAAUCUCUGCAAAACCCGUUAGCAAAUUCAAACAAGCAUCACAACAAGAUCCACACCAUUGCCCUGGAAGCAGGAUGGAUUUAAACAAAGUGCUCCUGUCAUCCGUGCCCACAAAACUCCAACAACAUCUUUCUCUCGUGCUCCUACCUUGGCGAUUUGCAAAG
Long non-coding RNA from Zonotrichia leucophrys gambelii, 675 nucleotides. RefSeq lists it as uncharacterized. The record is from RefSeq and is a predicted model, not a curated record. NCBI's taxonomy places the organism in Eukaryota, Metazoa, Chordata, Aves, Passeriformes, Passerellidae. The transcript is spliced from 5 exons.